This 465-nucleotide ribosomal RNA is filed under the name uncultured bacterium. Its description in RNAcentral is "partial 16S ribosomal RNA". It matches the Rfam family "Bacterial small subunit ribosomal RNA", at positions 338 to 795 of the family's 1533-position model. The record is from RNAcentral.
CCUACGGGAGGCAGCAGUAGGGAAUCUUCCACAAUGGGCGAAAGCCUGAUGGAGCAACGCCGCGUGGGUGAAGAAGGUCUUCGGAUCGUAAAACCCUGUUGUUAGAGAAGAAAGUGCGUGAGAGUAACUGUUCACGUUUCGACGGUAUCUAACCAGAAAGCCACGGCUAACUACGUGCCAGCAGCCGCGGUAAUACGUAGGUGGCAAACGUUAUCCGGAUUGAUUGGGCGUAAAGGGAACGCAGGCGGUCUUUUAAGUCUGAUGUUAAAGCCUUCGGCUUAACCGGAGUAGUGCAUUGGAAACUGGGAGACUUGAGUGCAGAAGAGGAGAGUGGAACUCCAUGUGUAGCGGUGAAAUGCGUAGAUAUAUGGAAGAACACCAGUGGCGAAAGCGGCUCUCUGGUCUGUAACUGACGCUGAGGUUCGAAAGCGUGGGUAGCAAACAGGAUUAGAUACCCGAGUAGUC